This 800-nucleotide ribosomal RNA is filed under the name uncultured bacterium. RNAcentral's name for it is "bacterial SSU rRNA". It matches the Rfam family "Bacterial small subunit ribosomal RNA", at positions 8 to 800 of the family's 1533-position model. The record is from RNAcentral.
AGAGUUUGAUCCUGGCUCAGAACGAACGCUGGCGGCGUGUUUAAGACAUGCAAGUCGCACGGAAUCAUUUUGGUAGUAAUACUCGAAUGGUUUAGUGGCGCACGGGUGAGUAACAUGUGAAUUACAUGCCCUAUAGUGGGGAAUAGCCCAGGGAAACUUGGAUUAAUACCCCAUGGUCUCGCAAGAGUAAAGGUGGCCGCAAGGCUGUCGCUAUAGGAUUGGUUCGCACCCUAUCAGCUUGUUGGUGAGGCAACGGCUCACCAAGGCUACGACGGGUACCUGGUCUGAGAGGACGAUCAGGCACACUGGAACUGAGACACGGUCCAGACACCUACGGGUGGCAGCAGUCGAGAAUAAUUCACAAUGGGGGCAACCCUGAUGGUGCAACGCCGCGUGGAGGAUGAAGGUCUUCGGAUUGUAAACUCCUGUCAUCUGGGAGUAAGACCUGGUCGUGAAUAGCGGACAGGGUUGAUAGUACCAGAAGAGGAAGGGACGGCUAACUUCGUGCCAGCAGCCGCGGUAAUACGAAGGUCCCGAGCGUUGUUCGGAAUCACUGGGCGUAAAGGGAGCGUAGGCGGCGUGGUAAGUCAGAUGUGAAAUCCCGGGGCUCAACCCCGGAACUGCAUCCGAUACUGCCGUGCUAGAGGAUUGGAGAGGUAGCUGGAAUUCUUGGUGUAGCAGUGAAAUGCGUGGAUAUCAAGAGGAACACUCGUGGCGAAAGCGAGCUACUGGACAACUCCUGACGCUGAGGCUCGAAGGCCAGGGUAGCGAAAGGGAUUAGAUACCCUUGUAGUCCUGGC